AGCAGGAUAGAGAAGUGGCAAUCUUGCAAGGUUCAUACCCUUGAGACCGGUGGUUCGAAUCCACCUCCUGCAA
RNAcentral lists this transfer RNA (73 nucleotides) under Bacteriophage sp. RNAcentral's name for it is "tRNA-Met". It matches the Rfam family "tRNA". Rfam says of the family: Transfer RNA (tRNA) molecules are approximately 80 nucleotides in length. Their secondary structure includes four short double-helical elements and three loops (D, anti-codon, and T loops). Further hydrogen bonds mediate the characteristic L-shaped molecular structure. tRNAs have two regions of fundamental functional importance: the anti-codon, which is responsible for specific mRNA codon recognition, and the 3' end, to which the tRNAs corresponding amino acid is attached (by aminoacyl-tRNA synthetases). tRNAs cope with the degeneracy of the genetic code in two manners: having more than one tRNA (with a specific anti-codon) for a particular amino acid; and 'wobble' base-pairing, i.e. permitting non-standard base-pairing at the 3rd anti-codon position. RNAcentral also lists the same sequence under 1 other name. The record is from RNAcentral.